RNAcentral lists this ribosomal RNA (233 nucleotides) under uncultured bacterium. RNAcentral describes it as "partial 16S ribosomal RNA". It matches the Rfam family "Bacterial small subunit ribosomal RNA", at positions 118 to 351 of the family's 1533-position model. The record is from RNAcentral.
UGAGUAACCUGCCCUUAACUCUGGGAUAAGCCUGGGAAACUGGGUCUAAUACCGGAUAUGACUCCUCAUCGCAUGGUGGGGGGUGGAAAGCUUUUUGUGGUUUUGGAUGGACUCGCGGCCUAUCAGCUUGUUGGUGAGGUAAUGGCUCACCAAGGCGACGACGGGUAGCCGGCCUGAGAGGGCGACCGGCCACACUGGGACUGAGAUACGGCCCAGACUCCUACGGGAGGCAG